This 466-nucleotide ribosomal RNA is filed under the name uncultured bacterium. RNAcentral's name for it is "bacterial SSU rRNA". It matches the Rfam family "Bacterial small subunit ribosomal RNA", at positions 30 to 491 of the family's 1533-position model. The record is from RNAcentral.
AUUGAACGCUGGCGGCAUGCCUUACACAUGCAAGUCGAACGGUAACAGGUCUUCGGAUGCUGACGAGUGGCGAACGGGUGAGUAAUACAUCGGAACGUGCCCGAUCGUGGGGGAUAACGGAGCGAAAGCUUUGCUAAUACCGCAUACGAUCUACGGAUGAAAGCAGGGGAUCUUCGGACCUUGCGCUAAUAGAUGAGCCUAAGUCGGAUUAGCUAGUUGGUGGGGUAAAGGCCUACCAAGGCGACGAUCUGUAGCGGGUCUGAGAGGAUGAUCCGCCACACUGGGACUGAGACACGGCCCAGACUCCUACGGGAGGCAGCAGUGGGGAAUAUUGGACAAUGGGGGGAACCCUGAUCCAGCCAUGCCGCGUGUGUGAAGAAGGCCUUUUGGUUGUAAAGCACUUUAAGCGAGGAGGAGGCUACUCUAGUUAAUACCUAGGGAUAGUGGACGUACUCGCAGAAUAAGC